Molecule: ribosomal RNA, 305 nt
Filed under: uncultured bacterium
Lineage: Bacteria
Description: bacterial SSU rRNA
Rfam family: Bacterial small subunit ribosomal RNA
Source: RNAcentral
UGUGCCCUACGGGGCGCAGCAGUGGGGAAUAUUGCACAAUGGGGGAAACCCUGAUGCAGCAACGCCGCGUGAGUGAAGAAGUAUUUCGGUAUGUAAAGCUCUAUCAGCAGGGAAGAAAAUGACAGUACCUGACUAAGAAGCCCCGGCUAACUACGUGCCAGCAGCCGCGGUAAUACGUAGGGGGCAAGCGUUAUCCGGAUUUACUGGGUGUAAAGGGAGCGUAGACGGCUGUGCAAGUCAGAAGUGAAAGCCCGGGGCUCAACCGCGGGACUGCUUUUGAAACUGUGUAGCUGGAGUGCAGGAGG